Molecule: microRNA precursor, 106 nt
Filed under: Daucus carota subsp. sativus
Lineage: Eukaryota; Viridiplantae; Streptophyta; Magnoliopsida; Apiales; Apiaceae
Description: sRNA DCAR_mi00028
Source: RNAcentral
CUUACUUCUAGAGGUUCCUCAAACACUUCAUUGGGGAAUUUUAACGUUAACAUUUCUGUAAUCGAAUUCUACCUACUGAAGUGUUUGGGGGAACUCCCGGGGUUGU